GCUGAUAAGUGCCCAAACGAGCUCCUCGCUGAUACGGACACAAAGAUACUUGAAGCUGCCAGUCAUCUCCACUCCAAGCUCCUGGAUAAACAGUGGCAGAUGUCAGCUAUCCUCUCCUCGGUCUUGUUUGUGCAGAGGUAGAAAGAAAAAAAACAGUGAAGGACACCAGCAGACAUCAAUCAAGAGGAGUAGGAAUAUAAACAUUCCAGUGCCUGGUUUUGACCUCUUCACCUCCAAAAUCCAGCAGACCGGCCUGGGAGACCACACACACACACACACACACGCACACACACACACACGCACACACAAAUGGACGGCGGGGGAAGGGAGUGAAAGCCCGCCAGAUGCCUAUUUAAAAAUGAACUCCCUGGCAGCUCAGAACCAGGUCCUCAUGAUGACGUCCUGACUCAUGGAUGACUGCAGACAGACAAGUAAAGUACGACAGCUGCAGUAACCUCCGUCAUAUGGACCCUCGGGCAGGAAGAUCCGAAGUAUGACUCAUGCCGGCUCACCCUUCAGGUGAUGCUACAGAACCAGAUCCAGAUUGGCUGGAAUGAAGCAGAGGCAUCAAAUUACACUUUGUGGGGUUUUUAUCAGUGCCAUGGCCCUCGUACCACAGUUUGGUGCCAGAAGUGUUGAGUCAGUGCGGAAUGACGAGUGUUACAUCUUAUUGUUUCCCCGCCUCUAACUGUGCCAGGACACGGCGCAACCAUCGUUCCCACCCAUCGCCCCACCACAGCAAAAUCCGGGCAGCUCUUCAGGUUCCUCGCCUGUUUACAAACACACACAGUCCGCAGGAAUCCACCUGAUGAUCCUCCACUGGAGCAGCUCCAAAAAAACCACCACUCUCCGCUAACCCUCGUCAUGUUUUCAGCGCCUUUCACGCAGGAAUGCGGCGAAGAGGGAAAGGCGCCGACGUCACUCGCCCUCACGAGCCGCUCCAUCAGUGUAGCGUGACCGAAAACGUUGCACCAUGUUAAAACUCCCUCUUGGCGGAGUCUCGGCCUCCUCUCGGGGAGUGAGCACAAGGCAUUCUGGGCAUUCCACGGGGCCUCCACAGGGCGGGGCGGCCUGCUUGCUGGACAUGUGCGUUUGAUAAAGGCCAAAAGGCUCCUCACAGCCUGACUAAAUUAGUGAAAGAAGCCUGGGGAUUUAGUUCACUGUUAAGGCUGCAAAGUUGUUAUUGUAAAACCUUUCAUCAGUCAAAUAAUUCAUUUUACACAGGAUUCUUUUUCAAAGUUUUUUAGAUCGUAAUGUCUUAUCACUCAAAUGAGCUAAAACGGCAAAGCUACACAUACACUAUAUUGCCGAAAGUAUUUGGCCACCCAUCCAAAUGAUGAGAAUCAGGUGUCCUAAUCACUUGGCCUGGCCACAGGUGUAUAAAAUCAAGAACUUAGGCAUGGAGACUGUUUCUACAAACAUUUGUUAAAGAAUGGUGAUUUCCAGAGUGGAACUGUCAUAGGAUGCCACCUGUGCAACAAAUCCAGGCGUGAAAUUUCCUCGCUCCUAAAUAUUCCAAAGUCAACUUUAUUAUUAGAAAAUGGGAGAGUUUGCUGGAGGAGGAAUUAUGACGUUCAGUGAAAACAACUUUGAACGAUCCAGGAUACCAAAACAUUUUGGACAAUUCCAUGCUCCCAACCUUGUGGGAACAGUUUGGAGCGGGGGCCCCUUUCUCUUCCAACAUGACUGUGCACAAAGCAAAGUCCAUAAAGACAUGGAUCAAUCAAUCAUCAAUCAAUGUUUAUUUAUAUAGCCCUAAAUCACAAAUGUCUCUAAGGACUGUACAAACCAUUACGACUACGACAUCCUCGGAAGAACCCACGUAAGGGCAAGGAAAACUCACACCCAGUGGGCAGGGAGAAUUCACAUCCAGUGGGACGCCAGUGACAAAGCUGACUAUGAGAAACC
This is a long non-coding RNA of Nerophis ophidion (straightnose pipefish), 1908 nucleotides long. RefSeq lists it as uncharacterized. Lineage: Eukaryota; Metazoa; Chordata; Actinopteri; Syngnathiformes; Syngnathidae. The record is from RefSeq and is a predicted model, not a curated record. The transcript has 7 exons.